RNAcentral lists this long non-coding RNA (416 nucleotides) under Vigna radiata. Its description in RNAcentral is "long non-coding RNA (VRAD_LNC018482)". The record is from RNAcentral. Lineage: Eukaryota; Viridiplantae; Streptophyta; Magnoliopsida; Fabales; Fabaceae.
AAUAAUUAUAUGUGUUGAAAAGGUUCAAGUUUGGGGUUGUGUGAGGAAAGUGAAAGGCAAAAGAAAAAGGAAAGCAUUGAGUUCAAAAGAUGAAAAAGAAAAAUGCAUGUGAAGAGAAAAGAAAAGAAGAAAAAAGUUUAAGCAUGUUAAAAAGAACUCAAUGUAAAAUGAAAAAAAGGGAAAAGUUGGGAAUGAGUGAGAUUGGUUAAAAAGAGAGUGUGCUUGAACUUUGAAUGAUUUAAACUCUCUUAACUCGAGGAUUUUGUAUUCCAGAAAAACCAAUUUUUCUUGUUAGCCCAGCCACAAUACAAGCCUUGGAAAAAGUCCUUGUGAUGACAUGUGCAUGUGAAGAUGUUGAUUGUUUUAGAUGAAUGACAAUAUUGUUUUAUGUGACAUGUGAACAGUAGAGAGUAAAG